GUGMAUGGCGCRUGCUUANCUGCAGUCGAACGGUGAACACGGAGCUUGCUCCGUGGGAUCAGUGGCGAACGGGUGAGUAACACGUGAGCAACCUGCCCCUGACUCUGGGAUAAGCGCUGGAAACGGCGUCUAAUACUGGAUAUGUGACGUGACCGCAUGGUCUGCGUUUGGAAAGAUUUUUCGGUUGGGGAUGGGCUCGCGGCCUAUCAGCUUGUUGGUGAGGUAAUGGCUCACCAAGGCGUCGACGGGUAGCCGGCCUGAGAGGGUGACCGGCCACACUGGGACUGAGACACGGCCCAGACUCCUACGGGAGGCAGCAGUGGGGAAUAUUGCACAAUGGGCGAAAGCCUGAUGCAGCAACGCCGCGUGAGGGAUGACGGCCUUCGGGUUGUAAACCUCUUUUAGCAGGGAAGAAGCGAAAGUGACGGUACCUGCAGAAAAAGCGCCGGCUAACUACGUGCCAGCAGCCGCGGUAAUACGUAGGGCGCAAGCGUUAUCCGGAAUUAUUGGGCGUAAAGAGCUCGUAGGCGGUUUGUCGCGUCUGCUGUGAAAUCCCGAGGCUCAACCUCGGGCCUGCAGUGGGUACGGGCAGACUAGAGUGCGGUAGGGGAGAUUGGAAUUCCUGGUGUAGCGGUGGAAUGCGCAGAUAUCAGGAGGAACACCGAUGGCGAAGGCAGAUCUCUGGGCCGUAACUGACGCUGAGGAGCGAAAGGGUGGGGAGCAAACAGGCUUAGAUACCCUGGUAGUCCACCCCGUAAACGUUGGGAACUAGUUGUGGGGUCCAUUCCACGGAUUCCGUGACGCAGCUAACGCAUUAAGUUCCCCGCCUGGGGAGUACGGCCGCAAGGCUAAAACUCAAAGGAAUUGACGGGGACCCGCACAAGCGGCGGAACAUGCGGAUUAAUUCGAUGCAACGCGAAGAACCUUACCAAGGCUUGACAUAUACGAGAACGGGCCAGAAAUGGUCAACUCUUUGGACCUCGUAAACAGGUGGUGCAUGGUUGUCGUCAGCUCGUGUCGUGAGAUGUUGGGUAAGUCCCGCACCAGCGCACCCUCGUUCUUGUUGCCG
Molecule: ribosomal RNA, 1069 nt
Filed under: Microbacterium paraoxydans
Lineage: Bacteria; Bacillati; Actinomycetota; Actinomycetes; Micrococcales; Microbacteriaceae
Description: bacterial SSU rRNA
Rfam family: Bacterial small subunit ribosomal RNA
Source: RNAcentral